GGAACAUGUGAAGACAUCCAUUAGAACAAAAAAUGGACAGAUUUUCGCAAAUGCAGAUAUGAACUGCAAAAGCAGAAAUUUGAUCUACUGCUUUAAAUGCCCGAAUUGCGAGGAAUUAUAUAUAGGCGAAACAGGGAAUGCAUUAUCGGAACGCUCACGAGUCCACAGACAACAAAUCUGGAAGACCAAUGUUCGCCAAAUCCCACUGAGCGAACAUAUAGAGACAUGCGGUCAGAAAAUGUUUCUAAUUUUUCCUUUCCACAAAUUACAUGACACGACGAGUGAGGUUGGAAGAAAGAUAAAAGAAAAACGGUUUAUUAAAAUGUUCAAACCUCAUCUGAAUAGAAAUAACAGCAAUAAUAUAACAACCGUUAAUGAUGUGGAUUCAAAAAUAUCUCUUAGCAUAUAAAUAUAAACAAAUUACAGAAUAUCAGUACGCCAGACAAACUGUGCUGUUUAAGCUGCAUGCAGAUUGAUCUAAACCGUAU
This is a long non-coding RNA of Octopus sinensis (East Asian common octopus), 488 nucleotides long. RefSeq lists it as uncharacterized. Lineage: Eukaryota; Metazoa; Mollusca; Cephalopoda; Octopoda; Octopodidae. The record is from RefSeq and is a predicted model, not a curated record. The transcript has 3 exons.